Molecule: long non-coding RNA, 41385 nt
Filed under: Musa acuminata (dwarf banana)
Lineage: Eukaryota; Viridiplantae; Streptophyta; Magnoliopsida; Zingiberales; Musaceae
Description: long non-coding RNA (MACU_LNC006301)
Source: RNAcentral
CAUAAACUACUUGGAUCGAUGUCCACACGGUUCCUUCGACGCACCGUCCUUCCUCCUUUUCCCCCAUAUAAGACACAGAGAAGCGAGGCUAGAGCUGGUGCUCCAGGAACUCCUGAGAUGGCUUUGGGAGAUGCCGGGGAGAAGAAAGAGGGAGAUGCGGCGACGAUGCUGCUGAUCUCGCGCGCAGAAAUAGGCCAUCCUAUCGAUGCAUCGGCUUGGGGCGACGAGAGGAGGAUGAAGGAGGAGUUGGUGACUUGGGCAAAGGCAGUGGCCGCCAUGGCGAUCCGUUCGGCUCAGCAUUUGCGGCGAGAGGACAGCACGUUGCGAAGACGCUCCAUUCCUUACUAAUUAGUUAGUCCUUGUUUCUUGUAUGCCCACUGGAGUCCGCCAUUGUUGCUCGUGUUGUAGUUCCUUUGAUUGAACUCCUCUUUGUAUAUGAUGAGUGCAACAUACUUGUGUUGUUCGUGAACUCAAUAUAUAGCUCACCCUCACGUAUAUACACAGUACCAAGAAAACCAGUGAAAGUGAGAUAUCUCUUUUCAUCAUGAUUGAGUUCUAAUGAGCUCAAUAUUACCAUUUGAAUAUCGAUCAUGAGUUGUCUGUGCUAUCACUAUUGGGUCAAACACUUGGGGAAUGAAAUCUCUUUAUAUCGUAGCAUGGUUAGAAUUGAGAGAAUCCCGAAUUCCAGUUGGUCCACCUGGGUCUUCUUCUUCAUCUCUCUCUCUCUCUCUCUCUCUCUCUCUCUCUCUCUCUCUCUCUCUCUCUCUCUCUCUCUCUCUCUCUCUCUCUCUCUCUCUCUCUCUUUCGCGGCACACACAUGGCUGUUCUAUGCCGAAUUACCAGUUGAUGCACCUGGAUCUUCUUCUUCUGCUCUCUCUCUCUCACUCUCACAUCUUCUUCUUCUGCGUCUCUCUCUCUCACACGCAUACACACACAAACAUCAAGAUCGGGGAAUGAUAUCACGCUCGCCAUUUCGCGUUGGUCUUCGGUGUACGUUUGUCCUUGGAAUAUUUCAGCCUCCAAAAGAUAGCACUCCCGCUAAACUUCUGUCCUUCUCUCUGACUUCUCCUGCAUGUGCAGUGGCUAUUAUAUAUCAGAAUUCAAUGUUUUUGGCACAGGUGUAGCCAAUGAUUCUAAUACAUAGUGUUAUGUUGACAAAGCCAAAAUCGAACGCGGCAUAUCUUUCAGACCUCCCUCUCACUUUACGCGGAGAGGCAUAUAUUUUGUGUCGAGAAAGAUUGAACAUUCUUCCAGCCAAGCGCUCAUCUUUGACGGUCAAAAUUACUCUUAUUUAUUUAUGUUUUGGAACCUUUUUUGCUUGCCAUAAUCUUGUACUGGAUUUUACGAAUAAAAAACAUCCCCUUUUUCUGUGUUCAUUUCAAUAUUGUUUAGAAGUAGUGUAUUUAUCCUUACAAAUAUAUAUAUAUAUAUUUCUCUCUGAUGUGUUUCCUUCCAGUCACUACUAAACAUUAAUAUCUGUUACUAGUUUAAACUCAAAUAACAUGAAAAAUAUUAAAGCACCUAAUAUAUCCUUAAGAUAAAUAUAUGAUACAUUGAUAUCCAUCAAUCCCUAAUGGUUGCCCAAACUCCAAAAAAGCCAGUGUGAAAUCUGAUUCCUUUUCUGCUCUGCUAGUCUGCUGAGUGCAUGAGCAAGCAGAAACCAUGUCAUCCUACAAUCCAGUGGGUCUCAGUUUGUGAGUGCUUUUGUUCCCAUUCUUAAUGUCGCACAUGCAACAAAGGGAGACCAAAGAAUAUUAUACUGCAAAGGAAUUGUGACACGACCAUCACGAGCUUCUGCAGAGAUCUCCAACUCUCCGUUGUUUAUGGAUCGAUUCCCUCUGCAGCCACAGAACGAAGCUGGUGUCCACGCGUUUCCUUGGACGCACAUCGUUUCUACUACACUAGCGUGUUCCUCGUUCUUCCUCCUCAUCUCCUCUAUAUAUUGCUUUCUUCCGAAACUGUUGGCACAGACAUGGAUUUGAGAGCUCCGUUCGUACCUCAAGCCGCCGGAGAGGAGAAGAAAAGCAGCGCGGCGGCGACGAUGCUUCUGGCUCCGGGUGCAAAAGUGAGUCAGCCUAUCGAUCCUUCCGCUUGGAACGACGAGGAGAGGAUGAAGAAGGAGAUAGUGGCUUGGGCGAAGGCGGUGGCCUCCAUGGCGAUCGGUUCGCUGCAGUGCUCACAGCUGGAGGAUCUUUCGACGGCGUAAUCCGGUCGUCUGGCUCGUAUGAACAUGUCGUCCUUUUUCUUGUGUGCCACUGCAGAGCUCUCCCACUGUUACCAGUUUUUUCCUUGCAGGGGUGCAUUAUUAUUCUUGUAUUGGGUAUAUUUUUACUUGAGAAGCACAUUACUGUAUUUUUUUUCUCCUUAUCCAAAAAUUAAUAAUUUGGAAUAAGUAUUUUUAACAUAUUUUUUUCUUAAAAAUAUCUUAUUAUAAUGAUGAUCAUAAUGGAAGAAGGGCUAAAAUUGGCCGAGGAAUACUGAGUGCCUUCUUAUUAUUCUAGGGUUUAUCACGACAACUGGUUUUGUGUGGAUUUAUGGGGUUUUAUUUUUGUAUUUACUUAAAUCAGGUGAUGGAUGAGAGAGACAAGAAGAUCCAAGAAUACUUAUCUUGAUUUGACAUGAGAUCUUCCCGGUUGGAGACAUUGUCGUUGACCUAAACUCCAAAUCCAACUCGACAUGACAAAUGACAACCAAAAGGAUAAUUAUUUAUGCAAGCAAGCCAAAUUACGCCUGUCAAGGUCUAUUUUAAGUUCAAAUGGAAUAAUUAUCCAUUGAUUUGAUGGUCUUCAGUCAUCAUCAUCUUAAGUUAAUAAUUAUAGAUCCAAUCUUUUAUCAUUGGAAGCUUUUAAGUAGAUCAAUCCCCUCCUCAGACGUAUACUAACACAAGUGACUCUUUUGUUUAUUUAAAAUAAUAAUUAAAAAUUGAUUUAGUGCAUUUAUUUAUUUGGUAAUAGCACAUGAGUGUUGAUAUUGCAAGUACAUAAACAUGACUACAACAUCGAGAGAUUCUUUUAUCUCGAUCAAGCCAACAUAUAAUUAAUCUGUGAUUAUUCUUCGAUCAUAAGAACAACAAAAGUCAUAAUGAAGAUUAGAGAACAAUGCAACUACCUUAUAGAAUAUAAAGUGCAUGGACAUAGAAUAUGCUUAAAAACAUAUGAUAAAUGACUUUCUUAUCAACUCCAUCUUAUUAAGGUUGCACCAAAAAUAUAAAAAGAGAAAUGUUGUACAACUAAUUAUUAUAAGUAAAAUUAGAUAGGAAAAGGUAGACCUUAAACAUCAUAUAUACAGAUACUCUACCCACACGCUUGUUCUUUGCAUCUUGUACUGUUUUACAAGCUUUCAGAGUGGAAGUGAUGCCCUACGACUUCCAGAGCCUUGUAAUGCAUAAGUUUAGCUCAGGUCAAGAUGAAAGAUUCUGGAGAAUGCACCAAAAUGCGUUCUGUCUCCUUGUCGUUGCCCGGAGAUGACGAAGCAUCUGAAAAUUGAAGUAAAACACAAUGUUUGCCACAUCAACAAGAACAAAUCGAUGAAUAAUAUAAAAUUUGCAUCUUCUCUUUUUCUAAGCUUCAAAAGAAUUAAGUCUUUGUAAUCUUCCACAUUAGAUCAUGUGCCUACGGCAAGCUUUUACUUUGAUGCCUUCUUCGACCAUGUCACAAACAAGUUAAUCAAGCAAAUAUGUACCUAGGUCUGUCAUCUCUAUAGGCAACCUGUUUGAUCGCUAAAAUGGACUGCCCACCAAAAACCAGAUACAAGAGGGUUGGUAUGUGAUCACCUAAAUUACAAGAGGAACAGUUGGGAGGAUUCGUCUGCUCACCAUCCCUACACAAGUCUCUGUGUCAAACAGGCAGGUUAGGAUACGAAUUUUUAUUUUCAAUACCACCAAAUGCACGAAUGCUUACACAGUUGAUGCUACUGAACUACAACAAGCUUACCCCAAGUCUCCUCGCCCUAAGGUUUACAACCUGAUAUUUUUUACUCCAAUUUACACGAUAGAUAAUUAAUAAUGAUACUUUAUCAGAACAAAUCAAAUUAAGAGACUUUGCAUAAAUUUCAAUUAUUUUAUUUUUCCCAAAUUUGCUGCCUAUUGACAGCUUUCUCCAGCUAAAGCACCACAGCAUUAAAAAGAAUAUAAAACACAUAGAAGGCAAUGUAAAUUAAUAUCAAGUAUUUGAAUGGUUAUAGAACUUCUUAUACCUUAAAUAUCAAUAAUGCCUAUUGGGUGGAGUAGCUUCUUUCAUGAACCAUUAAAGGAGUCACUUGAGGAACCAAGUACUUUCUGCUUUGGGACCCGAACAAGCCUAAUGGUCUCUGCUGCAGUGAAAAUCUCAUCUCUCUCUAUUUGUUUUAACUCAACUAGUACAGGCUUGACCCUUCUCCAGUAGUCCACUAUCUCAGAAUCAGAUAAUAUAAUAGUUAAAGAUAUUAAGCUGGACAGGAAGUUGCAAUACCAGUCUUUAAUUUCCUUUCUAUAUCAGAAAGGAAAGAACACCCAUUUCAUUUUCUUACACUUGCUACAUAAACCUCUCUUACACAUCAAUACUCUAUAGCACAAGAAACUGAUGUAAGUCACAGGGAAAGGACUGGCCACAGAUAAUCUGUGAGCCAAAAGAUGCCCUAUAUUAAAUAAAAUAUAAGAAUCUUUUUUGCCGUUUGCAUAUUACAACAUGCAAAAUAAGGUUAAUUCAAAGAAGAAAUCAUAUAUUCAUAGUGGUAGAUGGUAAGUAAUGACAAUAGAUACCAAGUUUUGCAAAUUUAUGUAAGAAAGGUAAGAAAACAGAAAUAUUAACAGAAGAAAGCAAGAAAUAAUAUAGAUAUGAGAAACAUAAAGGUUCAGAGCAAAAAGGACAAAAGGCAAAGACAAUUUAUUUGCACCAGAAAACAGAAACUGUACAGACAGACUUGUGAGUCAUUUUUGAGAAUCUAUUGUUAGAAAAGUGAAAGACAUAAAAAGAGAGAUGGCCCAGAGUUACGAAUGAAUGGACGUAGAAAUAAGACCAGUGCUCGUGACUGUACAAGACCCAAUUUGAACUUCGACCCAGUUCAAUCCAACUAAGAUCCAGACAACUACAGGAAAUGACUUCAAGGACUUGCAGGAUCUUGAGGUACAUAUUUCCAGUCCAUAGAUAAGGACUAAUGACAGAUGCAACUUCACAAAAAGUCCUAUACGCAUGCAGAAUGGAAGACUAGGAAUUACUUAUUGCCACAACUAAAAAAAAAAAGUCUAACCUGCAAAAGCCUGGCCAAACCCUGGAGGAAAAUCCUCUACUGCAUCAGAAUUUUCACUUCAGCCCAAGAGGUAAUCCAUCUGCCUAUGUUCUGGAUAUUUUCACUACUACAUGGUGUAAUACCCUAUUAAAAAGAUCUGGAUAUUUUUCGCUUUAACAACCAAUACCACUCUACAAAAAACACAACUGGCUACUAAAUAUGAGAUAUAGUUGGAUCCAUCCAUCCUAUAAAGUGAAGUACAUCCAAUUUUUCUAUUGCCUUGAAAUUCCCAAUUUUCUUGGUAUAUUUUUCAUAUAUAUAGUUUGCUUUCAUUUCUAUUAUUCUCAGUCACUACUGCACAUAAUAUGUCAUUGUUAGUUUUGCCAUUCCUGUCAUUGUUGAAAAUCAUUAUCUAUCAUUUCAUCAGUUACCUUAUCAUUUCUUUGGAUAAAAGGCACCAUCCUUUUUUGAGCUGUCGUAUGCUUCCCCAUGACCUUAAACCUUUAAACAAUAAAUUUGAACCUUAUAGUAUUACCUAUUAUUGAAUCUCCCUUCAGAUGAAACAAAGGCAAGCAUUCAUCUAGAUGAUUUGAUAGCAAUCAAUAGUCAAUGUUAAAAAACAACAAAGGCAAAGCCAUCCAUGAAAAUAAACCUAAUGAAAUUUUGACAGAAUUCAGUGCAAUCAUCCAAGUGAUUAUUUAAUUAAUGAUCUUUAUCCUUCUACAGAGAAAGUGAAAAAAGUUCAAGAUAUGCUCUAAAAGAAAAGAAAGAAAUUAUAAAGAGCAUACAUCAUGUCUAACAUAAAUAUCAUACAAGCUAUUAUACUAGCUCAAUAACUGACAUAAAGGAAGCUUUCUUAACGUGGCAAAAAAUUGUUAAAUACAAGUUAUUUGUAGUAAGGGCCAUUUUGGGGUAUCAGAUUUUUUCACUCAUCCGGCGAACAAUAAAUAUCAUUUGUGACGAUCUAAUUAUACCUAUCAGCAACCGAAGUAGGGGAACUCUUUGUAUUCCCAAAAUGCUCAAGUCCAAUUCAUCAAGUGACGCUUAUAAGAAACUGCCCAUUCUCCUAUAGUCUCUGAUAUAGGGCAAUUUCUGAUAUCAUACAUCCAAUCCAACAAAUAUAUCUUCCGGAACGAAUAUCACAUUUCUUUGUGAUUCAUAUUUUAGAGAUAAAAUUUUUAGAAUCAACAAGAAGCAAUAAUGUAGCAAAAACAAUGUAAAUAAAACAAAGGCAAGGAACAAGGAAGUUAAGCAACCAGGAAGAACUAUAGAAGAUGCAAAUAUAAAGAUGAAGACACACCUUUGAUGUAUUUCACACAGAGAUGCUAGCGCAUCCUUCCACUUCGACGCUCAAUCUCAUCAAAAUCCUCCAUUAUGCCCUUAAAAAAUUCAGAAUCAAAACCCUCGCCAUCCUUCUCUGCUCCUCCAAUUCCUUCCUCUUCUUCUUCGUCUACUUCCAAAAUCACACCUUUCUUCUUCACUUCCUCCUCCGCACCAACUUCAACCGCUGGCAUGUGCCCCUCGAACAGAGUGAUAUGCCCAAAAAGCUUAUCCUUCCUCGAGAAGCUUGUCCCACACGAGCACCGCCACCGGGUCAUUCCGCAAUGCUUGAGGUGGCUCCUAAGGUCAGCCACCACCGAGAAGUUCUUCUUAUUGCACCGGUGGCAAGAAUACAUCUUGGGGCAGUGGCUCCUCUUGAAGUGGUUCUUCACGCACGCCACCGACUUGAGUGGUCGGAACUUCUUGUGCGCCCGGUUCCUGUUGCACCCGGGAUACGGGCAAGAGAACCUAACUCUUCUCCCGGGUACCGCCUCCCCGCCAUCCGACGGGCGAACUUCCCGGUCCGGCUUCGAGAGGGCUUCCAGGGUCUUGAACCGGUCGCCGUGAGCUCUCAUGUGCAUCCGGAGGUUCGCGUCACGCUUGAAACCCUUGCCGCAGAUCUCGCAGAGGUGGACGUGUUCCGCCAGAAGCUCUGCAGCAUCGAUCUCCACUAUGUCGUCCUCCUCCCCGAUCGCCGCCGCCGGAUCCGAGGUCGGCGGCUCGGAUCCGUUUCCGAAUUGGAUGGACGGCGGACUACCGGAUCUGGUCUCGGCGAAGCGAGGGGUCACUGCAUCUCGAGAGGUGGGACCACCAGCGGCAGCGAAGGAGGGGGAGGGAUUAAGCGGUUGGGAGGAGGCGAGGAGAGCGGCGCCGUUGAGGAUGAUCCCCUGGACGGCCGAGGCGAUAUGGGAGGAGACCAUCUGUAGCUGGUCAUCGCCGAUGACGGUGCGACUGUCUAUGGCAUCAGAGAGGAAGCGGCGGAGGGAGUCCAUCUUCUGGCCGAGGGCGGAGAGGUUGAGGAGGGGUAGGAAGGGGUCGUGGCUCGCCAAGGGCGCGCCCCCGGGGUCACCGCCGCCACCGCCGAGGGGCAAGAACGGCUCCUGGCCAGGGUUCCGACCGCCGGAGCCAUUCAUCUUGAGAGGGGCGGACGGUAGUGGUGGAGAGGAAAAGGGCCUCAGCUUUGUUGACGGGGAAGGAGUUCCAUGUCGUGUCGACCUUUGUAGUCGCUAAAAGCGGAUUAGCGGAAAUGUGUCUUACGGUCUUUAGUCGACAAACGUGCGGAGCCCACGUUGAAGCCACACCUUUAUGGCAGGUAGCUGAAUGGGUAGACUGUAGAAAGGUCCUUAAGAAGCUUCUUUUAGAAAAAGCUCAGCUAACCUGUGUUGGUCGAGCCACCAAAAAUACCAAUGGCUGAUUCCAAUGGGUCAAGGAGUGGGUCCCCUUGGCAUUAAACAACCUAUGGGAAUGAGCUGCUUCCGUAAUAUUGCAAACUCCACAAGACUAGGGAUAUUAAUUGAUUAGCAUAAUGAUAUUGAAAUUUAAAUUAAAAUUAAAAUUUUAAAACUAUAAAUUUAGUGAUAAUCAUGAAUAAUAGAGGAUAAUAUUUGAAUGGCUCCAUAUUAAUAUUUGAAUGUUCAACAAAAUAUUAUUAGAAAAAUUAAAACAAUUCGUAUUAAUAUUUUCGGAUGCACUAAAAAUAUCGUAUGAACGUUGUUUUAAGAAAAUAUUGUCAUCAGUCAUUGUGAUUCCUUCCUAAGAUUAUUUUCUCGUUAUCAAUCUCUUCUUAUUAUUGUGUGUCUCUUAUUCAAGUAAAAUUAUUCUAAUUAUCGUGCUAUAUGUGUUUUAUAGCAUUCUAUAUAUGAUAUUAUUUUUAUCCUAUUUUAUGUGAUUAAAUUUUUUUCUAUUUGUUAAAGAUUUUUUAUUUAUUCACUAAUUUUGAUAUUUUAGAUUUUAACUACAUAAAAUUUUAAAUUAUUUAUAUGUUUCAAAAUAUUUUUAGUCGACAUAACAGUUCAACCAAUGAUGGAAGGCUUAGCUGAAUCACUUGUGAGUAAUAUCAAUAACUAUAUUUGCUCAUCCACCUCAAAGAACACAAACAUCUCCACAAACCAGUAAACUGACAGUUUGUUUGAUAGGAUGUCAUAAAUAACAUUUCUGUCUCGAAACAUUGUGAUACAAAUCUUGAAAUGAAUUUAUACGAAAGUAACAUCACAAGAACACAGCCUAUACAAGAUUAAUGGUGAAGCUCACCGUUACACUACGGUACAUGUACCACAAAUAGUAGAAGAUUGAAAUUAACUAGUUAUUUUGACUCAAAAACACCCUUAAUUCGCAUGCGAAGGGAAAAGAGUCAAAGGAGACGAAACACAGACUCCUAAUAAUAGCAAAUUAUCAUCAGUCAUGCUUCCAGUUUGACUGCUGCUUCAUGUUCAGAUGGCAGACCUCCUAUUUGUCUACACACAACUAUAUGUAGUGGAAGAAUCGCACUCUGUAUUCAUAGACGUCCAAAAAGCCAAAAAAACAAAGAGUGCAGGAAAAAGUUGUACCUUAAGCUCCUGCCACCCACGUACAUUUCUAUUUUAUUCUUGGAACAAACGGACAGUGCUUUUCCACCAUCCACUGUACAUUGCAUCCACCCAAACCAUCACAUCCUCUCACUAGCUCGCUCACCUCACAAAAUCCCAAGAGCUUCCGAUUGUGUUACAUGGAGUAAAAAUUGGAAAGAGCUAAUACAGGUAGAAAGGCCAGAAGGAAAUGUAAGCAAAGGGUUUUUUUUAGCUCUUUCCACCAAGUCUCUCGUAGAACAAGAUGUACCCAUGAUCUGUGUUGCCUGAAAACUCCUGAGAGGAACCAAAGAAUGUCUGCACAGUUGAUUCAUCGAUCAUCUCCACAUUUUCGUCAUCAAAUAACAGCCAGUGGUUGUGGCUUUUGACAAGGCUAACGUAGUGACCAUGGUUGGGACCGCUCCCCACGUGGACCACAACUGCAAAGAGAGAGUACUCGGAGUCCGCAUCUUCGACCGUGUUAGUAAGUUUCAGCUCCAUGGGAAACACCACACGGUACGAUAAUUUCUUGUACCGACCAAGCUGCUCAAUGUAUUUGAACCGUUUGAGGUGGAUCACAAGAAUAUGUGGCGGCUUCUUGAUCUUCAUUCUCUUCUGUGCUUCCUGCAAACUGCAGAGUGAAACAGAACUCCAUGCUUCAGAAACAGUUAGUUAGCAAUGGAUGAUCCAACACAAAAGUGGCAAGAAAGAUUUUUCAAGGGAAACACAAUAUGCUAACGCUUUAUUCAACACUUUAUAUAAUUGAAUCACCUUCCCAUGACCAUAGCACUUACUAUUAAUCUAGACCUAUAUCGUUCUCCAAGUUGUUGAACAAGCAUUUAGAUAAUUGCACUCGUGAAGUAAAGUUCAAGCAUUCUAGUUAAAAGCUAAAACUUUCAGAAACGAUGCAACUAGCUAAAGCAUGUGAGUCUGAAUGCACAUGGUUAUAUGAAUCUCACAAGCAACGACAAAAAAGAUUUUACUAGGCAACAAGAUUAUGAACCACAACAAAGAAACCAGUGAAGCACCUGCAGCACUUAUCACAGAAGAACUUGUCCUCAGCAUUUAAGGUCUCUGUUGAACUGAAGUUUUUGAGGCAGCUUGUUAUAGAACUGUUCUGCUCAAUAUCAAGGCUCAAGUCAAGAAAUGUUUCAUCCCUUGCAGUAACAGUUUCACAACGUAAGCAUCUUGUUUCAUUGGUCAGUAUGCCCUGUCGCAAGAAAUGUAAGCUUACGUUGGUAUCAAGAAGCAUCACUUAUUUCGUGCUAUACAUGUCAUAUUGAACAGAAGAUGCACAACAAAUUAGGGUACUCGAUUCACCUGAAAGUUCUUGUGAACCCAUGUAACAAGUGGCUCCUUUUGCACACCAUUAGCCACAGGAUGGCUUGGUCCAUUGGCAAUCUUUUUAGAUGGUGACAAGGUUUCUGGGGAACUUUUUGCAGCAUCAGACUCUUUUUCCAGAAUAUCAACAAGCUCAUUCAGCAAGAAAUUCAAAAACUCAUGAGCAUCCUAGAGAAUCCAAAGAAAACAAACAAGAUUAGCUAGCAAAAUCACAAAAUUAGAAGAUGUAGAAAUAAGAGCUACAUGGAUGAUGAGAUACAACUUCAACAAAGUAUUUUACCUACAAAUGCCUUUCAGAUGAUAAAAUUUUUCAUCCACAGACUGAAAGAAAUCCCACAGACAAAAGUAACAGAAAAAAGAGGUCUGUCUCGACAAACUGAUUAAACAACAGAAACAUUUUGCAAAAUAACUAGGCUAAAGGAUGUAUAAUCAAAUUGCUGCGGUUCAUAGACUAUUCGUAAGCCUGAUUGGAGAAAUUUGAUGAGAAGAAAAACAAAUGGACAAUGAUCAACAAAUCUGCUUGACAACUGCAGUUUACUUUAAAUUUUGAAAUUCAUUUCAAAUGAAAUUGUUUUGACAAAGUAGAAGAUAGACCAGAGCAAAACAUUCAAUUUCGGUACUGGACCUGUGCCGGUCCAUGGCCAGACUGAUAUGGGUCCAGUCCAUUCCUGCGUACCAUAUGGCGAAAUAUGUAGGAACAUACCAUCGUACAGAGAAGGGGGAGGAGGAAGAGAGGAGGCAGCAGAGAAUGGUGCGGUAGAGACGAGGGGACAAGACGGAGAAAGAGAGGAGAUGGCAGUGGCAAUGGAAAGGAGGGGAAGCAACAGAGAUGAAGCUGUGGUGGUGUAAGAGGAUGAGGAGAGGAUAGUACUGAUCGGCAGAUGCAAGUGACGUCAUUAGCAUGUGGAGGUGGACGUGGGUGGCAGCAGAUGCAGGCUACAAUGGACACAGAGCGAAUAAUGCCAGACGAAUGGGAUUAGGUAUUAGGGUUUUUAGUUUAUAUUUGGGCCUGGACUGGGGAAUAUGCCCUGAAUCGCAUGUGGCCUGCUCGAAAUUGCCGUCCGCAUGCCGGUUCACACUCGGAGCAGUCAUUACUGGUUGGUGCACAUCGAACUGGGUGAAAUUGGUCUCGAGUGAAAAAUGUUCAUGCUGAGGUAGUUGAUUGGAUGUAUAGACCUAAUGCAACUAUGAUGUCCACAUAUUGCCUCUAUUAUUAACAAAUUUAUCAAGUUAACUUAAUUACCUGGUGCAUAUAACUACGGAAAUACUCAUUCUGUUUCUUCACUCUCUGCACAAAGCGUUUUGGAGCAAUAACACCAGUUUUUUUCUUUUGGGAGCUAAUCUGCACAAAAUACCAACCAAGAUAUAAGUACAACCAAUAUCAUAUGCAAGACUUGCACUAAUACAUACAUGAUAAAUUAUAGCAAUAAGACUCUCACAGUGACCAAAAUUAGGCUAUUCAAUAAUGAGGCAGAUAUUAUUUGUUUGGCAACAAACAUUAUCAUCACGAUCUACAUGCAAAUUUCAUUUGGCAAGGAAAUGGUCAAGUGGCAUAGGAACCAUUUGAACUUCAGAACAAGUUGUGAAGCUGAAACCUCCAUAUACUAGUAUCUGAUCCAACACAUUCCAAGAUCAGGCAAAAAGGUUUUCCUUAGGAUCCAAAAGAGCACUUCAUAAGACCAUCUUUUUCGGUCAACCUUUAUGAUCAAACACCUGCAAAAAUUUUCCUAUACUUGAAAGCAGUUUACGAUACUUAACAUGGCAACAACUCUGUCCAUUUAACCAAAUUUCUAUCUCAAACAUGCUUUGGAUUUACCCUCAAUGUUCAUAAAAUGGCCAUCAAGAAGAAAAUUUCCAAUUGGCAGGUGAGAACAAUGGCAACAAAAUCUAUGGGAAUAAUCUAGAAGAGUGAAAUUCUUUCAAAAUUACAGAAGAAUAAAGAAUCAUACUGUUCAAACUUAAUUCUAUGUCUUAUCUAUGUUCUCAUGGCAGAUCUCCUAUCUACUGGGUCAAUGCUCCAACUAAAACAUUAGUUUCAACACUCUUUAAUAAACAUUAAAAAGCUCCAGUAUAUAUGCUGAACUCAUAGAUCUCAUAUGCUUUCAGGUUUAUUCGACUACUUGAUAAAUAUCAGAGGCAAAAGACCAAAUAGAUAUUAAAAUUUGAUACCUCAUAAGUUCAUAAAGUUAUUUUGAACACCUUUAGUAAGGUACAUUACUCUAACUUCAUAUGGAACUACAUUGAAACCAAAGUAAGUUAGACUUAUAUGAAGUGAAGAUAGACAGUAUAGUCAACCAGAGUAAAGACAAAAGCCUACAAUAGCAAAUAGUAAAUGAUUUAUCUAUAAAAUCCUGUCUGCAGAGAAAUGGGAGAACUCACACAUUUUGUAGUAUAGUAUGAUAAAAUGAAUUUCAAUAACUACAAGUAGAUCAGCAUAGUUGUGCUAUUCAACUAAAAUAUUAGCCUUCAUAAAACUAAUAGUAACAAAAGGAUGAUCCAAUCAAGGUUUGUUAAACUCGUGAUUUGGGCAAUAGCAUGGAGCGACCUUACAGCCCAGAUCUUACUUCUCACACCAUCUUGUGGUAUAGUAUGAUAAAAUAAUUUUAAAUCAUUUAAUCCCUUUUAUUGUUUCAUUCUUUCCUCUUUUUUCCAAAUCUCUUCUUCAUAAUCCUGUAGUGCAUGUUUAUCUUGUGCUCUUAUUGUAGCCAUUGUAAAAGUUUAUCUUUCCCUUGUUGCAUGAGAUGACCAAUGUAAAAGUUUAUUGUAGUGUCCUUUCGAAUACAUAUGCAGUCAUUCUAGUAUCUGAACUCAUACAUGAUUCAUUGUGACUCCUUAUGAAGAAAAAAAAGGAUAUUAAAUCUAUCUAAAUGUCUCUUUGUGAAUUACAUACUGUGUAAACAACUGAACUGCAUCCUUUAUUAUUUAUUUCUUUUUUAAUUAAAAAUAUCUUUCAAUUACUUUCAAUUGUUUUGUCAAAAUGUCUAAGAGAAAAAAUAUUAAAAUCAAUCAGAUAUUGGAUAGGAGUAUGAUAUAAAAUUUAAAAACAAUCUGAGGAAAAUAAAAUGCAAGUUUUGACGAAUGAUGGUAUCCAUAGUUUUAAAAAUAAUCCAGCAUGUAAAGCAUAUAAGAGUGUCCAAUGAUGUCAGAAAACAAAUAAUACGACUGUUGGAAAACUUAUGACACAAAAAAGAAAAAAAUCAUGAAAUUGAGGAGGAUAAAGGAUAAGAUAAAAUUAUUUCAAAACGAAAAGAAAAGAAUAUUAUGGACAAAAAAAUGGCUAGUUCUCAUCUGAACAACACUCAAACAAAUAUUACUCAAUUGUUUAAGAGAUAUUUGAUAGAUGAGACAUGUCAACAUAACCUUCGCUAGUUCUCAUCUGAAUUAUUUUCAAAUGGUAUACUAUAUUCCUAUCCCAUAUCUGAUUGAUUUUUAUUUGUAUUUUUUCUCUUAAAACCAAACAUUUUGACAAAGCAAUCAAAGAUAAGGGACAUACAACUUAAGAUUUUUUUUGAUAUAAGAAAUCUAAUAAUUAAUAAUUAAUAAUUAAUUGUAAAGUAAGCAGUUUUCAUUCAAACAAUAUGCAGUUCAGAAAAAGAUUUUAAGAAGAUAUAAUUUUGUUUAUAAAAAUACACUUGGAUUGCUAACAAUGAAUCAUGAGCUGAGGUACAAGAAAGACCACAAGAUAAGUACAUGAAAGAGCACUACAGUAGACUUUUAAAUUGAUCAUCUCAUGCAACAAAGGAAAAGAUAAACAUGCCACUAGAGCACUAUAUUAAACUUUACGUUGGCUAUCUAAUGAAACAAAGGGAAGAACAAAAUAGUAGAAGGGAAAAGAGGAGACAUGGGAGGAAGGCGAACGACUAUACAUGAGAGGAGAUGGGAGGAGAAGGGAGGAGAAGAAAGGAGAGAAGGGAAGAAAGGGAAGGAGAGCGGAGGGAGAGGAGAGAUGAAAACAAUACCUAUGGACUGUGGGAGAGGAAGUGAUGGACAGCGGCACCUCAAACAGCCAACAAGGUUGGCAGCAGCACGAGACCCUCUUGUGGCUAACAGCAACAACGACCAAUUAGGGUCUUGUCUCAUCACUCAUAUGUCACCCACAGCCUCGCACAUCACCUCAUCUUUGAGCAUUUGUUUUUUACUUUUAUAUAAAGCCCAUCGAGUUGAAUCGAUAAACUCAAUUCAACUCAUCCAAGUUGAUCGAUCUUUCCAAGUCAACUUGUGAGUUGGGCUGAUUCCAACACUCUAAAAUUUCAGCAACUGGCCAGACUCGACAUGCCUGACAUGGGCUGCUGUAAGAUCAAACGAUUUUGUGGCCCAGAUCAAGAUCACAAGGUUCACAACCUUGCCAGGUCACCUAAAUAACAUAGGAACAACCUUAUCUUGGAACCUAGAUUUGCCUCCAUAAAACUAAUGGUUGUGUUGAAAAAGAAUGGAUGUAUGACAUGAUUAAUUUUAAUAUCAAGAAAAAGCAGAUUUUACAAGUUAUAAGUUCAAUGUUUAAACAUCUAAUGGAUAUUACUUUACACAUAUAACACACAUAUUAUGCUAGGAAAAGCAAAAACUUAUUAACAAAUUUAGUAAAAAAAAUUGAAGACAAGAAUAUUGUUAGCCUGUGAAACUCUCAUCAAAGAAUACUGUAAUUUUGGCAUGAUAUUCAUGGCUUGUUGAUAAAAAUAUUGUUUACCUGAGUAAAUAGGUCUGCCAAACAUGUUAGAAGGUUUUCUUCAACAUCGCCCAGAUUCUUGUUAUUUGCAUAAUAGUCCAGUAACUGCUCCCGGAAAGGAAUACAAAAAUAUAGAGCCUGCAUAUGGGAUAAUUAAGAAGCAAAAAAUAAAUUAUAGUUAAAACAAAAAGAACAAAAAUAAUACAUAUUUAAUUUAGGCACUGCAUAAAACAAAACAAACAUUUUCAUCCAACAAAGUUCAUUUCAGUAAAACUCAUGCCCAAAUUCUUCAAACCAAAUGUAAAGCAUGAUGUGAUGAUGGUAAAAAUAGCUAUGCUAGAAGUGAACUUUGACAAAAUUUAGAAGGAAAUGUUGAAGGGAGAAAAUUCUUUACCAAAUAAAACAUUUAUCUUUUAAAGUAACAUAUCAAUCUCUUAUCUUUUAAAGUAACAUAUCAAUCUUCUUUUAUGUUAAGCUGAAAUGACCACUUUGUAUUAAUGUCAUCUAUGAACAUCCAAAAAGUCAAAAUAAUUGAAGAAAUUUCGCUUUUUACGUAGCCCAAUGGUAGCAAAAGAUCGACAUAGCCAACCCCAAAUAUAUUGGUGGUGGCGUACAAAUUGUUAGUGCCUAAAACUAGAAAUGAAGGAGAAAACUUUCACCAUAGUCAUCCAGGAAUCCUGAGUUAUUUAGCUAUCAAUCAAUUAAUUUAUUAAGAAGAGUAAAGAUGAAACUUUAGAGUCUAUGUUCUCGAGAUAAAAUAUAUUCACUAGCUAUGAAACAGGAUGUCAAAAAAAGUUCGUAAAACAGAGAUGAGAAUGCUAACAAGUGUAUCAAAUUUUACUGAAAAUAAAUCGAAUAACUGCAAUUGCAAAAUAAUUUAGGUAUAGUACUAAUAAAGCAUAAUAUACUACAAAACCAUCAAAGGAGCCAAUACUAAUAAAAAACAUCUUGAUAUACCUCCAGCAAGGAAAGGUGAGCAACAUAAAAUAAUGCUCUAAGAAAGGAAAAGAAAGAUCAAUUAAUGAAAAACAAUAAGAAUAACUAUUAUAAUCCUAAGUUCAACAUCUAAGUACAACUAAAGAGGAUCCAUAUAUCUUAUCCUGGAUGUUUGGAGCUAUGGAUUUUUUAUGAUAAUAUACCAUUGUGUCCCAAGCUUUAUCACCAUUUUUACUAAUAUAAGGUAAAUAUCAAAGUGCAUUUUUGCAGCUGACCACAGAUCACCUUUACUAGCUCUCUCAAGUCUCAUCCUUAUCUAAAUAAUCACUUUGGCACCAAAACUUAGAAGGUGAGGUCCUUUGGACCUUACACUUAGCCAAUCUCAGUCUGAUUGUGAAAUGUGAUACCACUAGAUUCUACUAAAUCUUUCUUUCCUGAAAUAAAAGUCACAUCUCAGAUUUUAAAAAAAUAAAUCAUCAUUUCAUUAUUCAUAAUUUAUAGAAAACUCUUCUUUUAUCUUUGAAUUCAAAUCCCUAUCUUUCCAAUACUAAAUAUUUUUUAAUUGAAAAAAGAACUGCAUCUUCUAAGUAGGGCCAUAAGUGAUAAAAAAAUCUCCUUCACCCAAGGAUCAGAUCUAUUACAAAAUAAUAGGUUACUCUAAAAACAAAUAUAGGAUAAAAAUACAUCAGCAACCACACAUACUGGUAAGAACUCCGAAAAAUCAUAAAAAUAAUCUUCAAUACUCGUGAAACAUCUAAUUCAAUCAACUAAUAAGCUCAAACCAAUAAAGGAUGAGGAAAUUGGAUUAUGUCGCAUAGUGCUAGCCUAGAUCGAACCAACCCACCUAAGCAUUAGACGGGUCACGUGCGUCGCACAUGCUUAUCCCAGGUAAUAGGUUGGGUUGAGGUACAACGAGUUAGAUAGAGGGGCGAUAAAAUAUCUAUUGUCGGUCGCAUAGCUAAGCAGGCCUAACUUCUAAACUUCACUCAUGGGUUAGGCUGAGCCUUGCCGCUAAAUCGGGCCAUGCUUGGCUCGUGGGUUGGGUUAUACCUAACCACAUGGAUUGGGUUAUAAUACUUGACCACAUGGACUGAGCCAUGCUUAGCCACAUGAGCUUAGUCAUGCUUGGUCAUAUGGGUUGCGUCAUGCCUGACUACAUGAGCUAGGUCAUGUCUGGUCAUAUGGGUUGAAUUAUACCUGACCACAUAGGCUGGGUGAUGUCAAGCCACAUGGUUUAGAUCGUACGUGGCCAUAAGGGUUGGGUCGUGUCUACUCACAUGGGCAGGAUCAUACCUGGUCACAUGAGCUAAGACAUGUUGGGCCACAUGGGCUAUGUCGUACUUGGCCAUAUGGGCUGAUUUUGACCAAUCAACUUAACUUAGGUUAGAUCCCAAUUUGACAUCUUUUAUUAAAUUAGAUUUAAUAUUCUUAGAAGUACUUUAAAAUAUUAUAAAAUAAGAAUUAACCUCAUAUCUAUUCUUUUUCAUGAAAUAACUAAUUUAAAUUCAUGAUUCCAAAUUUAAAACUAAUUAAAUCAUAGAAAUUUAUACAUAAUUCCUUGAAACAUAAAUAUAUCUAAUUAAAUAAAUUAGAACUAUUAUCAAUAUUAAAUUAACUACUUAUCAGAAAUAUGUCUAACCAUUAUCAAGUCAAGUGUUGUAGCUAUUCUCAUGCAGGACCAUUGUAUUUUACUUUUCCCUUGAAUAAUGUUUCUUAUUUUAGGGUGUCAUGAGUUGCAAAAUGGCAAUAUCUUUGAUGAUUACACAUUAUCUAUCAAGAUUGCCAAGUAAAGAAAAAAAGAAGUCAGACAAAAAAGGAAGGAUAUAAAUCUUAGACUUGAUGAACGAUAAGAUCUUAGAAAACCUACAAAAAUGUUAUUAUAGUGAAGAACCAAUAAAGAAAAGAGACUAUCAAAAAAAAUAUUUUAUUAAGAAAUAUUAUUUGUCAAAACAAAUAUGGAAAACUAUGUUCUUGGGAGAAGAAAGAUAAAAUGAUUAAUAUAUCACGAUUUGUGGGAUGUAACUCCUUUUAUUGUGUUCUUCCUUAAUUUUGUAAUUAUUUUUUUAUAUACUUCAAAACUAAGAAAAGGGGAAAAUAAAUUGUGCUUCGAAACAUCGAUUUGUGAAUGAAAGAAUAGCUUUCUUUUCCCCCACCCUAUAUUUAUGUAUAGGUCACAAUCUUUCCAUCAUCCAUGUCUAAGAUGAGUGGAGAUAUUAAACAUUCAUCCUAAAGAGUUGAUCCUUUAGUCAAAGUGAGUAUGGUAAUUAUUUUUUUCUUUUCUAUUAUCUCUUUUAUUUUUCAUCAUUAUCUUUCAUGAUUAUAAUGUUUUGCUUCUUCUCUCUUUCUCUUCCUUUAUUCUCAAAUAGAAAAUCUCUGCUCCUUAUGAACUUGUCCAAUAUCAUAUUCCUUUCAUCUGAUGUCUAUGCAUUUGCACUCAAGGUUUUUCAUCCUUUGAUAAAGUCAAUUCUGAGUUGAUGAUCAGACAACAAAACCUACACCUUGGUUUCUGUGCAAUCACAAGAAGGGCACAAAACAAAAAAGAAACAACAACAAAUGUCACAAUACAGAUUUAUGGUCCUAUCAGAUUCCUAGGGACUGCUAUAAUAAGAAAAAAAAUUGAACCCCUAACCAAUUUUGUUGGAGACCAUCUCAAUCUCUAUCUUACUAGUAUAGAUGUUCUUUUUAGAGAUUGUCAAUUAAAUUAUGGAUGAUCUCCUAACAAACAUGAAAAAAUAAUUUCUUAUACCAUUCAAGAAUAAGAUCAUGUAAUAAAGAAUGGGUUGAAGAUAGUAUGAGAGCACUACUAUCCUUACGAACAAAAUGGCAGUGACACUAACAAGCAAACCAUAAUUGAUAAGGAACUACUUAUACUUAUUAUAAUGGUCUAUUGCAUUUGAAAUAUUGUCCAAAUACUAUAGUUAAUUGAACAAUAGCACAUUAAUGAUCAAGAUUUGUAUCCCAAAGAUCCCAAUGUUUCAGCCAAUGGUCAGGCAGCUCUUCAAAUAUACCGAACACUAAAGAAGUAUCAUCAGUGUUUAGAAAGCCUAGUUAUUACUAUCAGUGACAAUUGAAGGGCUUCAUUAUACACGCACCAAAAGGAAAGACAAAAAUAAAGAUUAAAUAAUCUAGUUUGUCUAUAGUAAACGCAAAGAUAAAGCAGAACUAUAAUGGGAAAAUGAGACAGUAAUUAGAUUGAGACGUGUUCAGCUGACACAUAGUAUGGACUAUGGAGAAAAAAAGGUCAUCUAUGAUAAUUGUCAUGUAAAUUAAGUCAAAAAGCAUCACGAGAUGCACAUAUAGAAGAAAAGAUUGAUGAAACUGAUGACAUUGAACAUGAUGAUGAUUCUGAUGACAACGGAUGAUGAAGUUCUGUUAGAUAAUUAAACCAGUAUAUAACAACUUUUUCCUUCUUCAUCCUACCUCUCUCCCCUCCCAACCCCUUCCUUUUCCUUUUCUUUGGCUUCCUUCGUCCUCUUUUCUUUCUUCUCCUUCCUCUUUUUCCUCUUCCUUCUUCCUUCCGUCCUCUCCCUCCCCUAAUGGUUCAUGGUACAUUCCAGUGUACCAACACAUGGUAUGCAGGAACAAACCUGACCUGUACUAGUCCAGUCACGGACUACUGGCACAGGUCCGAUAACCAAAACUGCAAACCUUGCAUAUUCCCGAACAUAUUGCAAAUCAUACAUCCCAACUAUUUGGGUCAAUCAUGGAGAAAAAAGGGUCAAACAUAUGGAUCUUUCCACCAUGUAACUUUGCUGAGGUCCUAAGGUUAAUAUCACUAGCCAAUUUAAAAGCCAUUAAUCCAUCAAUCAUGGAGAAAAAAGGGUCAAACAUAUGGAUCUUACAAGCUCCUCUCUCUCUACUCUGCACCAGUCAUCAUUAAUCCAAAUUAUCUCACUUCUAAGGUCCCUCAAUGGACGUCUCCGAACAAACCUUAGACAAAUUUUACUCAUUUUAUCAUCAAUCUAAAUACUCUUAAUUGUUCACAAAAAUGCAAAUUUUGUAGUUUAUCUUUAUAGUAACCACCACGCAACGAAGUGGACACCUCAUCUAAAUAGGAUUAACUUUUAGGUAUGUUGUUUUCUUACUGCCCAAAAUUUUGAACUCAAAUAAACAGGGCUGGCAAAUACUAUUCAUUUCUUAAGGACACCAUCAUUCAAUUCAUUCCUUUCACACAGGUUUUGACAAUACAUGUUUUAUAUGCAGAACGACCCAGUGAAAUAAAUUGAAUAUUUGAGGAGUUCAGCAUCAUUAUAUGAGCAUUAAGCCAUCAAGGAAAGGAAUAUCAGCAUAACUUUUAUAGAAGGCUAUGAUAUAGACACCAAAGGAGCAUGGUUGCAAUCGGCAAUCCAAUGUUUCAACAAGCAUAAAUCAACAUUGUACAUCCAAGAUCAUUGGUAUAUUCUUAUCUCUUACCAAAAAACACAAAAGACUCCUAGUUUAAAAACAACUCCUGCAUCCAUGUCAAGAUGAACUUCUUUAAGGGGAAAAAAAUGCAAAACUAUAAACCCAUACUACAGAUGAGUACAUUUGAACUUAAGCUGCAAUUUAUAAUAAAAAAAAAUUAGAAGCCAAAUACAUUCAAAAGAACAAGGAUAAGAAAAUAACUGUCUAAAAGAUGAAGAUGUUGCACUAGGUCAACUAUAGAUCUCAAAAAUAGAUCAUGAUUAAGGUUGUUAUGAAGAUCUGAAAAUAAAGUGCAGAGUCGAAAGUGAACAUCCUUUACAAGCUCAUUUCUUAGCAAAAUUUCAUAGGCUUACCACCACAAAGGUACAAUGUAUAACCCCAUCAUAAAGCCAAAAUUCCAUUUUACCAUCAUAAUCUCUCACUUCCAAGAAAAUUUGGAACUUCUGAUUAACUAGCUAGAAAAUGAGCAUCAUAAGACAUUAGAAGAAAUUAAGUACAAUAUACUCCAGAAUUUAUUACAAUAUCCUUCCUAGACAAUUAAAGAGAUCUAUGUACUUCAACUAAAUUUUUGUUAUGUUACCCACAUUUUCUAUAUAUCAUAUUCAUCAGACUAAUGAACUUUAACCACGUGUAAGAUAAACAGUUUAAUCAGGUCCUGGUUAUAUCUGAUGAUUUAUCAAGAGGAAUGAUGAUGACUUUCUAGUAUUUUUCCUGCAUAUCAACAGGUUUGCACUGUCGGAGGACAAAUGACAAACAAACACUGACACAUUUUUUUCUUUGUUAAAAGAACUGUUCAAAGUUUAAAAGCCAAAAAUGAUACUUGUGCACUAAGUUUCUUUCUUGUUUAUCAAGACAUUCCCACCUUUUUCUCAAAAAAAUACAAAAUGGUAAAUUAAAUGAGACUGCGACUAAUAGAUUUAGAAACACAAAAGUGUCUUAAAAAUAACCAACAUAUUUAAGUCGCUUACUUCAGACCAAAGCUAUGUUCUUAAACAUUAUACGGUGUAAGAAAUGAGCUAGAAAAGAGGAAAUACAGAUCAUCUUUUUUUUCAACCGAGAGUACUUAUAUAACAAUAUGGAUGCACCCUAUAUCAGUGUUGACAAAUGAAAACAUCUUCCAUAUCAGACAAGAACAUUGAAUUAAUAAUCAUAACAAUAAGAUCCGGUAAGAAGAAAAGAAACAAACCUCCCUUAAAAGAAUUCAUCUCUAAUUCGACAGAACUACAAGUUACCCAGAUUCAGAUCGAGCUCUUGGUUCAAUAAACAAAGAAGACGUAGAGGCAAUAACCUGCAAGACGCUGUUGCAGUAGCAGGUGUUGCCGAAGUUCUCAAGGCCGAAGUAGCGCUCGCCUUCAGGGAACUGGUCGCCGAGGGCCUUCUCAAGCUUGGAGCCGGCGGCCCCCAUGACUGUCCACUUGUCCCACCAGCCGCCGGCGACCCCGGUGAGGUACCGGAACCCUAGACCAAGACCGGAACGCGACCUCUCCGGCCCCCUCUCGGCCGCCGUUCCGCUCGCCUCCGUUGACGAAGGGGUCUCCACGGUGAGAGAUCACGAGUAGGCUCGAGCUUCUAGGGUUUGAGGCACGGUCCCUGAUGACGAGGGCGAAGCGAAUUCCCGCGGCUCCCGUUCGUUCGGCGUACGGGCGAGAGAGUGUAGGAGAAGAAAUGAUCGAGGGUGGAAUAGCGAAAGAAAGAAGGUUAAAACAGUGAUCGAUCGAUCUGAACGUUUUCUUUAUUUUUGUUUUCCUUUUUCUUUUUGAUGUUGUUUCGUCGUCAUAUUUUUGUUCGAGAGGAAGACUCUUCCUGUCUUCUCGUCGUUGACUCGCCUACCGGCUUUCUCAUUGGAUGCCUCAGGGAGAACCCAUACAUGUGACCCUAUUAGCGAUAAGGUGUGCCGUGGGGUACGUACGAAACCGGAUGUUUUCAUUUAUUUGCGCACUCCACACGUGCAUACCGUUUACUUCAUAUAUUCCCGUCUAAACAUGCGAGAAAGCACGGCUGGAUUUCUAUUUUUCGGUGUGUAAGACGAAACUAAUGAACUAUUCUGCGGUUAGACAUGCUAUUAAACAUGAGUCGAUUUAUCAUAAAAUCCAAUGUAAUUUUCCUGACACUAUAAUCAAAUACAAUCCGAAUUAUCUUAGUGUUCUUCUCGUAUAUCAUUUCAGAAAACAUGGGAUCAAAGCUUCCCAGUUAUCAUUUUCCACUAUUUACGAGUCACGCAUCAAACCAGAUAUAAAUAAUCCUUCUAUUUUAUUGGUAUACUGCCAACUAAAAGUGUUUAUUAUUUAUAAUUUUAAUAGAUAUUUAAAAGAUUAUUAUUUUAUGCCCUGUCCUAAUUUAAUUAGAUUUUUAAGUGAAAGAAAUUUAUGUCAUAACUCGUUAUCCAAAUGGGAAACAAAAUAAUAGGGCAGAAAUUUGAGUUACAACUUGUGCUAUCUCGAAUUGAAGCAAUAACAUAAUUGAGUUUAUAACAUAAAAAAGAUUGACUAAUGUACUUAGGAUCAUUAACCAAAUUAAUAAGAUACUAGAGAUGUAAUGGCACUGUUGAAAUUUGAAGCGGGAGAUGAACAUAAAACUGAUAAGUAGAUGAGAUUUCCUCAAACAGUUAGGAGAAAGCUACCACUUGCAUAAUUGGAUCACGAAUCUACUCCACUGUUGCUACCACUGCAGAACUCAAUUGGAUCACGAAUCUACUCUAGGAACUCAACAUCGAUACCUAUCCCACUUUGUACGCGAUCAAGUUGUCCGCCGUCAACUUCGUGUUUCUCAUGUUCAUACGGUUGAUCAAUUGGCCGACUUAUUUAUGAAGCCUCUCGUAAACUUUUUGCAUUACAUCUGUCCAAGAUUGGUGAUCGAAGUACCAUCUUGCGGGGCGUGAUAAGUAGAUGAGAUUUCCCUAACUGUUUGAGGAAAUCUCUUACUCUGUCGAGGGAAAUCAUCUAACCUGUUGAGGAAAAUUCUCCCUUCUAACCUGUAUAAAAGGAAGGGGAUAUGUUAAUAACAAUCAACUUCUUCUACAACUUAUUUAUCUAUUUAUUUUCUAACAAAGACAAGACAAAGCAAUAAAAAAGAAAAAGGUUUCUUUCCACUCCUAUUCUCUACGUUGCAACAAGAUAUUAUAUAAGUCUUUAUAUAUAAGAGAAUUGACAGUUUCUAAUAUUCAGAAAUUACUACAUUUGAGCAUUAUGGAUAAAGGAGGAAACAAUUUUUUGUGUUGCACGGAAAGAAUCCCAGUAUUUAUUUUGUGCUGCAUAGAAAGAAUUCCAAUUACUAAUGAUUUUCUUAUAUUUCUGUUAUGUAAUAUAAUUCAAAACUCAUCAAUUGAUUUAUUUAGUUGCCUUCCUCCUUUUAUCUCAUUGCCAUGGUUAAGCUGAUUUGGCUUUGGCCUUCCAUUUAUCAUAAAAUUGUUAGUAUCAAAUAAAAAAAUACAUGCAUUAUCAUUUAUAAGUUGACUAAUAUAAAUUAUUAUUUUUUAGUUUGGGAACGACGAGAAUAUUUCUUAAUUUCAAAUUACCAUAAGAAGUUUUUAAGAAAGCAUCACUUAAAUCAUACCCAAUCAUAAUAAUAGGUCAUAAACAUGUUUUACUUUUUUUUAAUUUUUUUUUUAAAAUAUUAUAUUUUUUUAAACAAAAUAAAAAAUAUUAAUUAUUUAGAUCGACUUAAUGGAAGUUGACACAAUAACACUCGAAAUUAAAAUAAGUUAAUUAGAUCAGAAAAUAUAUCUAAAAAUAUAUUUAAAUUUAAAUUACUUUAUGAAUUUUUUGGGUAUUAUUUGUAAAAAUGAAUAGGGAGUGCUAUGAAGUGGUCUGAUGGUAUAUUUCUACCAAAUCAUAUAGAUUUGCGGCUUUUCCUGGUAAAAUAUUUGGGCCAAAUGGAACGAAUACGUAUACAUAAACGUUCACUCGUUACAGCUAUUUAAAUAUAUGGGCCAAAUCGGAUCGACUGAGCCAACCUACUCAUCGAUACCCCAUGGCAGAGACGUCCAAGAAGCGACCGCUUCCCCCAGACGAAUUCGACUCGCCGCCGCCGGAGUACGCUCCUCCCUUCCUUUUUCUAUCCCAAACCUCUCCUCCUUCUUGUGCGAACUUUAGGGUUCCUUGAUUGAUUCCGAUGUGGGGGCGAUGGCAGGCAGAGGCGGGCUAGGUUUCCUAAGGGUAAGAAAGCGAAGAGGGGCAGCGAAGACCUCCCCUUCCAUGGGGACGGCGGAGACGGCAACUGGAUGGACCCACAGCUCGCUGCCAAGGAGCGCGCCAAGCGUCGCAACCAGACGCGGGAGAACGAGGUCUUAGGUGACCAGGUGGACGUCUUCUCCGGCGAAAUCCAGUACGAGGUGCUUCUACCUUCCCUCGUCACUUAAAUCUAUGAAAUAAAAGCUGUACAAGUGUAGUGGUUUUUGGUAAAAAUAUGUUUCCUCUCAUAUCUGAUACAUGUUUCAGGAAAGACCAUGUGUUUGUAGUGCAGCCUUUUUCAUCACGUUUAUGGAAAUUAGGCUGUCUGAAAAUGUGUCUUGUUGUUUCCUGUCAAUCUGUAGGAUCGGGGAGAGGUAUGGAUAUCGAUUGCCGUCAUUUUUUAUGAGGAUGAUGCUUUCAUCACAUUUAGUAUUUUUGCUAGUAAGUUCAUUUUGUGGAGGGGGAUACUAAGUAUUAUUAUACACUUGGGCUGCGAAGGAUGGGUUUUUUGUGGGUCUUAAUGGUGCCUUUAAAUUGGUUCAGGGUUCGAUUAAUCAGGGUUAGUUAUGAUAAUUUAACUUUGGUUGCUAGAGGAUGACCUUUUUGGUUAGCAAGUAGAAUUAGAGAUUAUUUUAGACCACCAUUUAUAUGAGUUAUUUUUAUUCCGAAUUGUUAGGGUUCAACUUCUUUAAUUGUGUCAAUCUAAUCACCUCAACUUUGAGCUUUUGACUUUUCAAAACAAAAACAAUCAACUUUACUUUUAUGUUUUUAUUGAUAUAGACGGUUUGCUAGUCAGUCAAAAAAAAUGUUCCUGAUGUCUAUUUACAUUUCAUACCAAGUACUUGACUUGUAUGACUAUAAUAUUGAACAAAAAUGGCUAUGCUUGGGAUGCUUAAAAACGGUGCAAGUGAAUCGAUAUGUUCUCUUCCUUUGGUUUGGAGCGUUCAUAAUCAUAAGUUUUGUUUUUAACCAAUGGAAUAGUAUGUCGGCAUGCAUCAUAGUACCAAGAGGGGAGGGGCGAGGAGAAGAAGACGGGCAAGAGGAGGUAGAGAUGGAGAAGGAGAAGAGGAGGAGGGAGGAGUACCAGAUGGGGGCAGGGUGUGGCUGGCAGUGCGAUGGUGGGUGGGCAAUGACAUGCUUCUGCACUUCUGCUUUGUCCACCCACAAUGUCUAUUCAAGAGUAUUCAGAAUUCUAGCCGAACUCAAUAUGGAAAGCCUUUUGUAUUAGUUAAUACUUGAUACACACCUCGUUGAAGAUACAUUGGGUAAAACUUGUUGUUUUGAUAUACACUUGUAUUUCAUUACUUUUCCAAAAAUUCUCAACUAAGAAUUUCACUUGUUAUGUGCUGGCUAAUAUGUUUUGUUUCCUUAAGAUGUUAGCACCAGAUACUCAAACUACCAUUGUUUUAUUUUGUCUGUAUUUCUGGGUCACAUUAUCUUCAGCAUUUUUCUCAGAAUGAAAGCAUUUGAGACUAUUGCUUGGGUCUACUAUGAUCUGUUUAAUUUUCUCACUUUAUUGUCAUUUUUCAUCAUAUAUGUAAUUAUGAAUAUUCUUUUAUUACUCAUCAACGUUAUAUGACAGUAUCACUGCUAAUUUUAUACAUAGACAACUAAUAGCUAAUGGUGAUUAUGUAGCAGGAUAAUGUCAACUUUGAGGAUGAUGGGAUUCAAAUAGAACCAUUUAAUUUGAAGCAAGAGAGAGAAGAAGGUUACUUUGAUGCAAAUGGAAAUUUUGUUGAAUACACUAGACAAAAUGAAAUUAAGGUGUUCCCCCUGCUUUUCCUCUUUGUCCUUUUCUUCCCUUUCCAUCUAUUCUUUCCCAUCCUUUCUCUUCUUCUCCCUUCUUUCUCCCACCACUUCUAUUAUCACACACACUCGCGCGCACGCGUGUAGAUACACAUAUAUAUGUAUGUAUAUAUAUGUAUAGUCGUGCAAUGUGAGAUGUACACUUGACAUUUAUUUCCGGUCGAUCCAGGAUGCAUGGCUAGAUAAUGUUGAAGUUGAUACAAGAUUUGUGGGAAAGUUUCAGCCAAAAAGUACUGCAGAGGAGGUAUAUGAGGAUCUUUCUUCAGAUGAUAUAGGGAAAAUAAAAAGAAGAAUAGCUGAUGCACUUCAGCCAGGAGAAACGGUAACUUCAAGACUUAUGAAUUAUUAUUUUUGUUGACUUUAUUCUUUUGCAGUUUAUUAUGAUGAAUGAUUGCUGAAAACGUCUAGUGCUUGUCUUAUCAAGUCUUAAUUUGUAUUCAACUUGCUUAUUGGAUUUGUCUCGGUUGAACUCUUUCGGUACCAAAAUACAGAAGCAAUGAACUGAUUUCGUGAGGCUUUUGAUAUUGGCUUUGUAAUAGUUGUUACAACUGGAUAGGGAGUCUGAAAACAGAAAUGUCUUUCAAUCUAUUGGUGUAACUUUGUUAGUUGUUAUCUUGAUCAAUGCAUAUCUGACUUGCUAGUUGUCCUGUGGAAUCUAAGAUUCACUUAUGAUCAUAUUUUAAGGUUUUAGUUAUGUAGGUUCUCUGUCCCCAUUUACCUUUAAGAACCCCUUUUAUAUAGAAUCCAUGUGGUUGCUUCUGUAUACAAUUACAUGUUACCUUGAAUAAAUAGUAAUUCUUCAGUACUUGCCCUCAUAUAUUAUUUAAUCUUAGACCCCCCAACUUGUGUCAAUAAUCAAUAUGCAGCUGGUAUUUCAGGAGUAAAUUUAGCUGAUUAAACUAGGUAGUCGACUGAUUAUACACUUAUUUUUCCUUCAUCUAGGUACCUAAAAUAAUACUACUGUUGAUGAUUACUAAUUACUGUGGACAAUUCAGAAUAGACUCAAGGUAUUAUGGCAUAGUUCCUUUCCAGUAUGACACAUAGGGAGAAAUCAUGUUGUCUAUAGGCCACACACAUCCUAAUGGCACCAAUUAGAUCAUGACACUUGCUAGCUUGUUAAAAAUCAAAUGUGGUUGUGCGCUCCACAUGGUGAAGUUAAUCCAGUCAUGCCCCAAUCCACACUUGGUUCACUUGAGAAUUACGCUUGUUGAUGUGGAGGUGUCUGGUGGUCUAGUGAGUGGCUCGGGUAUCUGAUCUGCUAAAACUUAUUGUUGGGGGCAUAUACACAACAGUCAAGUUUGUUGGCUAUCUGAGAUUGGAAGUAGAAUAAAUGUGUGUUUAUUUCUUUGAAUUUCACAGAGAGAGCCUCGCAUACCUGAGAGCCCCUAUUUAUGGAGAGCCCUAAAUGUAUGUGGAAGCAUUGUCCAAACCAAAUCCAUUAAGUUAGAACAGGAAACCGGGUCUCUAGGGUUUUAAUGAUGAUGCGGCUGAUGGCAUAGAUGUUGAUCAGGUGCUGAUGAGGAGGGAGAUGUGGAUGUUGAUCGGGUUGGCUCUCCACGUCAUAUUACCUACUAUCAUUUGCCCCCAUUGCACUCCAAGGAGCAAAGUGUGUCAGAGUGCACUGUACACUUCAAGGAUUGAGUUGAUGUGACAUACCAACAUGGCCGUAUCAAAGAUAGAUGACUCUUCAUGGUUUGACUUGACCAAACUGAAAGGUUGGUGAUUUUUUUAUAGUCCAAGAUAGCCGCAUCGAAAGUUGAUGACGCUUCAUGGCCCAACAUGGCAGCAUCGGGAGUUGAGGAUGCUUUGUGGCUUGACAUCAUCGUGUUGAAAGUUGAUGACGUUUGCCCAAUAUUGGGAGUUGAGGAUGCUUUGUGGCUUGACAAGGUCACGAUGAAAGUUGAUGAUGCUUCGUCACCCAAGAUGGCCACGUCGAGAGUCGAGGAUGCCUUAUGGACCAGCAUGUCCACAUGUCGGGACAGUUCAGAAUAGAUGCAAGGUAUUAUGGCAUGGCUCUUUCCACUACAUAUAGGGACAAAGCAUGCUGUCCGUAGGCCAGGCACAUAUCCUAAUGGCACCAAUUAGAUCUUGACACUUGCUAGCAAACAUGACAGAUCUGACAUGCCAGUCCUUUGAUCCAUCUCAAAUUUGAUGCUGCAAACAGUUUCUUAGACAAACUAGUAACAACAUGAUUUCUGUGAACAUUCUUAUUCAACUUCUUCUGUGGCAUUCUUAUCUGCAAUUAAAUAUCUGACUUUUGCUGUUUCACAAUUGUUUCAUGAGGUUCUAAUGUGGAUGAGAAAGCAUUUGAGUUCUGUUUAGAUCACAAAAAUAAAAAAGGAAUCUAACCGCUUAAUUAAUUAUUUAUAUACUGAAAUACUUCCAUCGAACAGUGGCCUUCAAGCAGAGAGAUAAUACUAGGAUAUUUGCAGUUUUAUUACGUUACUGAGUCUGAUGCUUUUCUAAUUUUUGCCGUCUUCUAUUUCAGAUAAUACAAGCUUUGAAAAGGUUGAAAGGAACUUCCACCGACAAGAAAGCAAAGAUGUUGGAUGCCACAAAACAGAUAUUUGAUCAACUCACUGAAGAUGCCAUGAAACUCAUGGAGAAUGGAGAUUACAGUUGAGUGUAAUUACAUGUCAUCAAACUAUAUAUUUAUAUAAUUAUUGGUUGGUUGAAGAAGGAUUGCCAUCUUGUAUCAUGGGGUUAUGCUGAUCAUUUUCUGGCCCGUCAUGCCAAUUGGCACGCCUCCUGUUCUGUUUGAGACAGACCAUUGCGUGCCCCCUGUUGUGUUUGAUACAGACCAAAAGUUGGCUGGUCAUUUGACCUGUGUUGAUAUGUUCUGAUUGGAACGGUAAUCCUUGAGUCACACUGUAGUAGGUUAUCCUCAUUAUGCACUAAGGUGUUUGCUCUUUGAUGAGGUGGGAUCUUUUUUUUUUCUUUUCAAGUGGUCUUAAUGCAUGUUUCCUAUUAAGGAAGCAAACUAGAUAAGCUAGGUCAUUUACAACCACUUGAGGUUAUUGUGCUGUUGUUGUGCUCUAACAUCUCUAUUUUCUCUUGAAGAGUUUCCUGAUUGGAAGGCUCAAAUGCUUUUGAUAAGAUGGUGAAAUGAUUUGCCCAGUUGUUCAAUACUUCAAUAUAACUAACUUUUUUUCCUUUGUUUGGUUUCCAGAUGUUUACUAUGAAGAACAGGAGACCUUUGCGCGGGAAGCAGGUGGAUGUGUCGUUUCUUCUAAUUUUUUUGAGAAGUAUACACUUAAUUAUUUACAGAUAAAUACAUAGAGUAACCUGUAGACCAUAAUAGCAAGUCGGACUUUCCUAUAUAUCCGACAGGCAUAAAUAUGCUUCUUGAGACCUCUCUUUUGUUUGUGUCUGUUUUUAUGUCAAUUUUUGGUGCUCAAGUUUAUUCUUCUGCUCUUGAUGUACUGUUAAUACCUUAUUUCAAAAUCUGUACUUAUCAUAAUGAUUUUUUUGCUUUUGUUGCUUGUUAUGUUCAAAGAUGGUGAGUAGUUUCAAUCAUAUUGAUGCUUAUCUUUCAGUUUGCAACAGUAUUUCUGAUUAGCAACCUUCGCUAUCCAAGUACAGGAGUGAUGUAGCAUUUAUCUGCUAUAUGUCUGUCUUUGGCGAUGAUAAUUUAUUGUAGCUACUGAGUACUGACGAACUUGAAAUUGCAUAGGCUUUCAUUCUUCUGCUUCCCAGAAGAUUUAUACGAUCGUUCUGUUUACUGAAUCCUUUUUCUGCAUUUUAAAACCAUACCUUGAGCGGCCUUUCUCUAUCAUAUAUAUGAGCAGGUGUUUUGGUAACUUGAAUAUUAUGUAUGGGAUAUAUCUACUGUUAGCAACUUUAUAUGCAAUCUUAAGAAGUAAAAGAGAGUACAGGCCAUAAAAACCUACAGAACUUUAUAUGUUAUCCUUUUUUUUAAAACUCAUUCUUGAGUCUGAGACUAUUUUUUCUGUCACAGUAUUAGAAUGGAGUGACUUUUCUGAUAGAAGUUUGUUGCUCACAAAUUAUGACUCAUCUUUCACUUUCAUAGACUUUAGUUUUAUGCUUCAUUUUUCUCCUCCUAUCGUGUACCACAGAAUAUUUUUCUCUUUGUUUCUUUGCUUUGUUAUAUUAUCUUUAUCAGUUUGGCUUAUAUCCUUUUUAUAGGUUAAACAAUCUUAUACACUAGUUGAAAGACAAACUCUAUGACUAGGACUCAACCAUUCCUUCCUCCAUAGCUCGUAUUAUGGUUUAUGAUGGCAAAUUGUCAGUUUUUUGGGCUUAAAACAUUAUCACCAUUGAACACUUCAGGUCAUUACAUGCUAUAGCUGGAGACUACUUCAAAUGAUGAGAAGAUGAAUGAAAAUCAAGCAACAUAAAACUGGUUUUUGCAUUACACUAAUAAUUUUUGAGUCACCGAGGCAAAUAUAAUGACAAGAAGAAAUCGCUUUUGAACUGGAGUCAUCUUUUCAAACUCUUUAAUGCAUGUAGAAAGAGUCUAGAUGAGUGGGGGCUUAACAUAGUUCAGUGAGUUCCAUUUUUUAUUAGCCUUAUUUACUAGGAUCGUGUCACCUAUCAUGCUCCAAAGGUAAUGUUUUUACCAUCUGUUAAUUUCUAUGGAGAAGGUAUCUUGGUUGUGAGAACUGAUCAGAAUGUGUUUCUUGUUUGUGAUAAAUGAUUCCUUAUCUGUUUCGUGUUGUUCCUCGGGGUAUGUUGAGCCUCUAAAUGGGUAACUUUCUACAAAACCUACUUUAUAUCAUAGUGGUCAUUUACACCUGAGGAAAAGAUUGAUCCACUUGAUUAUAAAAUUAUAUCGUUUUUAUGUUAAUGCAUAAUAACCUAUAUAUUUAAUGGUGCAUGCUCUGCAGUCAACUGUUGGCACCUGUUAGUCUAUCUUUUAUGUUACUUGAAUAUGGAAUUGUUGAAACAAAGAAGUUCAAUGUCAUGGCACAUUAUUAUGUCAAAAGAAGAUGGUAGGUCAAGAAGGAUUGAUCGGUUGUUAACUUAGAUGGUAGAUCAUGCUUUUUUUCUGCUAACCUGACUAAAGACCUAUGUGUGUGGUCACAUGACCAGAUCUGCACAUGUGGCCAGCUGUUCUAUGUAUGCAUGUGGUUGCAUGGCUGCACUAACUGCAUUUCGGUGUAUGAUAUUCUGCUGUGAGUGUCCAUAUGUAGAACUAUAAAGGAGUGGCUUGCUUUGCUAUGAGUAGGUGAUGUUUUGCAGCUAUAUUGUUCUUAGUUCCACUGUCUUUCCUUAGUGCUACUUUUUAUUUCUAAUAACUCCUUAAGUUGGACAUCUAAAUGUAGGAUACCAUAUUUGUUAUGUUGAACAUGGAUUUUCUUAGCAAUUAUUCAACUGAUUAUCUUUUUCAUCUUCCAUGUACUAUACUACUAUCUCAGGAAGUAAUUAUGAACUUGUAAAAUUUAAUCUAUUACAGAAGGAUAUGAGCGAUUAACUCGUGCAAAAGCUGAUACGACUGGUACAAAAGGCAUCAUUUCUGAAUCAGAUUGUGCGGAGGAUAUAUUUUCUGAUGGUAUGCAACAUGGAGAACAAAAAUCAGAGAUAUGGGACAUACAUCCUAGACCUUCGGCAGUUAAUGUCUCUGUUCAACAAGCAUCACCCGAUGAUAGUGGUGACAAAAUUGACAUGUUUGGGGAUGAAGAAAAUGCCAACGAGAAUCUACCUGUCCCCAGUGCUGAGCAGGCUGAUCAACCUACUUCAGGAAGCUUGGGUUCUUCCCAAGACCUGGGCUCUGGAGGUUUUUUUUUUUUUAAUGUGUCAAUGAAUGCCCUCCCUUAACUAGGUGGCUACGGCCUUCCAUGUAAGUGAUUUUCUUCUAAAGUUUGAUUCCCGUGCAGCUGUCAGUCAUGGAGGGGAUGGAAAUGAUUAUGUAUUUGACGAAACAUCCGGGUAAGCAGUUCAGCCAUCUUUGUUGAAAAAAUUAAGGAGUCCUAGCAUCUCAUUCUCCAGUUUUUAUUUUUUGAUGUCAAAUCAAUCUUUGACUGACUCAACGGAAAUUCUUCUGGAUAAAUUGGAUGGCAAAUAUGUAUAUUUUUUCUUAUUAAUCAAUUUAAUCUACAGGGUCAUUUCUUGUUUAUUCUUUUUCUGUGAUGUAAAAGUAGGCAUGUUAAAAUGGAGUGCUGAGGAAGGAAAAAGAAGGCAGUGUACUUUUUGCUGUUAAAUUGUGUUGUUUAAACUAAGCACAAAAUUCUUCACAGCGAAUGCUUUACUAUGUUUGUUAUUUGUUUUUGUUUGAGAAACCAUCUCCUGCACUAGGUCAUAUCUUCUAAUUUUGGUCAAAGGUUGGGAUUUUAGACCAACAAAUUUUAUUAUUGUCUUCAUUGUUUGAUCUUGUAGUGUGUAAACUAGAAUUUUGAAUCUUGAAGCACACAUCCAGUUAUUCUGUAUCUUUGGACUCGAUUUUGUUGUGUUCAUUAACUUCAUUGAAUAAUUACCUUUUACCUUAACAAUCUGAUGUUUUUUCCAGUUUGAAGUGGCUUUACUAGUAUGCCUCUAGUUUCGUCAGAUAUCUUGAUUUUGAUAAAUUCUUAUUUUGCCUGCUUCUUUGCUGUAAUAGUUAAUAACUUCCUAUUUUGCCUGCUUCCUUGCAGUUACUAUUACAGCAGCAGCUUGGGCUAUUAUUAUGAUCCUACUUCGGGAAUGUACUGCUGUGGUGCAACAGGGACAUGGUAUUUAUGCCUAAAAUUAAGUUAACACUAGUAGUCGUGAAAUACACCAUUUAUUUAGUUUUUAAUUCUUCCACACCUAUUAUCUUUUUUCUUUUCUUCUUUGUUAUUCUUAUCAUUGACCUUACCACCAUCACCACCAUUGUUGUCUCCUUGGUGACAACACAAAUAACCAUGGGACCAAGUUACCUGCGUGGAUCAUAUUUUAAUAAUAUAACAUAGAAUGAUUAACCUUUGUGGUUAAUCCAUGGUUCGCGUUAUCGGUCCGUAUCGACGUAUCGACCAACCAUCAGUAUGGUACGUUUCGAGUUAUACUGAGCUAUAUCGAACAUACCAACACAUAGUACAUAGGGACAUACUGAUGUAUCGCUCGUACCAAUCUCCUGUUGGACCAAUAUAUACCGCCCGUACUGAGCGGUACACCAUGGUACGGCAAACCUUGAGUUAAUCAAGUUUAUAAAUACUGUUAUACUGCUUUUCGGAGCGUAAGGUUAUUUUGUUCUUUGCAAUGAUUUUCAUGUAGCGAAGCAAUUCAUUGGUCAUUGUUAUAUCAGCAGAAUUGUAUGACUUUGAAUUUUUUUUCCCUUUAUUAUCCUAGUUGUUCCUAUAAUCUGUUCCAUUUAGAGUAUUUCUCAAGCUUUCUAUUAAAAAAUAGUUUUUUUUUUUGUUCAGGUACACAUUUGAUGAGCAUAGUGGCACCUACACUGAAAUUCAGAGUUCCACAACCGAGAGUUGAAGAGUCUAUAAAUGGACCAAAUGUAUAAUCUGCUCAUAAGAACUCCAAUGUUGUAAGUCUACUGAAACGACAACCAAGUGUGACAUAACUUUCUACAGCAUGCACAGACAAGAAAGAUACAUUUAGGUCAUCUGAGUUUCUGGGUGUAGCCAACCGUUCACCCCUUUUUUAAUUUAAUGGGAUAAUUUGAACCAGUUUCUUGACUUCAGUUUGCGGCUGAUCUUUAAAAGCUUCUGUAGGGACAGAAUAGUGCCAUUUCAUGGGGUCUGAUAGGUGCUUGGUUUCCUCUUAAUUUUUGCUGGGGUUGUUAAAGGUGAAUACAGAGUGAAAAUGCAGCGAGCAGCAGCAUGCAUAUAUUCCUAGUAGUUGUCUAAUUGAUCCUGCAGCCCGGCAGAUGUACCCGUUGAUGAAGCCAUUUCUGGAGCACGUUUCACCUUCCAUACGAAUAGAGGAGGUAAGACUUGAGACAUCUUCCGCCAUGAAGUCACUCUUAUAGGUUCAGAAAGCACUUGAAGAUGCUGCUUAGCUAUUAGGUUUUCAUUUUUUUCCUGUCUUGAUUGGAAGCUAUUCUUUUAAGAUGGUAAUUUGUACUUUUGUCAAAUUUGUUCACACAAAAGGCACACAUGUUUGUGAUGGUAACACAGGAGGGAAUUUUAUCCUUAUAAAUUUUAAGAUUCUUCGUGAACAUCUCUCCUGUGUUACUAUCAAUCCAAACAAUACAAGGUUACCAAUAUCAAAACAAUAUACUAAUAUAAAAUGAUUAAAUUAAUGUUCAAAGUUUGUCAGUUUAUGGAGAUUACCAAAAGUUGUAUGGGUAAGUUUUUUUUUUUUAAUGUUUUUGGGGAUAUUUAAGUUAGAUCUAAAUUUAGAGGGAUGAAUCAUAAUUAGUUUUUCCAUUAUACUUUUGCUGUGUGCUUCAAUUUCAACUUCCUUUUAUUUAUUCCUUUUUGCAAAAGAAAGAUGGAUUUUGAUUGGAGAGCAAAACAUUGGUCAUCCGUGAGAAAAUUAAUUUAACACUCUCAUUCGUCCUCAUUAUAUAAAUUCAUCUUGACUUACCUUAAUAAUAAGAAAAGGGUUGCAUUCGGGUGAACCAAAAAUUCUAGCUUAGAUUCUCAAUACAAAUAUAAUUAUAUAUGCCUAUUUCUUGUAAACUUGGCCAAUAAAUUUGUAAGUCGAUGUUCUUCAUGAAAAAUUAAAAAUUUUAUUUGAUAUAUUUUUAUACCUUAAAUAUUAGUCUAAUUGUAAUAUAUCAAUUGCUUUUACCAAAAAUUAAGGGUUGAAAAUCUAUCUGACAUAUUUAAUUAUUGCCAUGAAAAAAAAAAGUAACAGUUAAUUUAGUUGGUAAAAAUCUUAAUAAUUUAUUAUAAGAUUUUAAAUUCAAUUCCUGUAUGUCUCUACGUAGGGUCCAUUUCAUAAGUCAACUCUGAUGUGGCAAUUGAAUGGAUUCCAAAUAGAAGUCACGCACCACCGACGACCUUCCCUUUGCUAUUUUGACCAAGGAUACAGUGGUCAACUUUUAUGUGGAAAUUGCAUGGAUUUCAAUGGAACUCACCGGUCAAACGAUGCACGAACAUUAAAUACCAGAACACUACAUUAGUGUAAGCGACAAGGUUUGACGAAUGACUUCGAGCGCAUGCAAAGCGGUCGGUCAGCUCAAAGCUUGAGUCCCGCACUCAUGGUAGCUCUGCGUGUGAACAUCUACCAAGCAUUGAGUGUUGCUGCAGCAAGAAAGAUCUCCUCCUCGCUUCCAUCCCAAUCACAGCUCGUGCAACCACGCCCCUCCAUGGCCAAACUCUGGCCAAUCCUCUGCGUCUUCGGUGCUUCUGUGACUUCGGCCUUCAUCUCCACUGACAGGCUCGGAGGUUCAAGCCCGCAAAGCUCGGAACUCACAGCAGCAAAUCUGACGCAUCUCUUCGACGCCAUGUCCGGCGAGGCCACCACCUCCUUCCACGCCACCUCAGCUCUUCCCAAGAGCUUCGACCCCGCGAACCCUCCAAGAACCGAAGCUCUACCCCUUCUCCUCCUCCAACGAAGCUCGAACACCACCGUGUGCGGCUCGAGCAGUUCUCCUACGGGGUCGGCGGCGCCCUGGCACUCGAUGGUGGAGAUCUCCUCCCAACGCGGGUUGCCUGUCGGAGGGACCUCACGCGUGUCGACGCGAAUUCUUCUCCCGGUUCCUGCCACCACAAAGUAUCUGAUGCUCAGGUUGCCCGGGAGAUCAAGAUCGAAGUUUGACAGUCUAUCAACCUUUAUCUCACAUCUGAGGUGAGAGAGCUCACUGCAAUUAGACAUAACGAAGCGAAUGGAAUGAGAAGGAGAGGUAGAGAGAUCAAAGAAGAGACCGAAGUGGAUAUGACGGUCGUCAGGCAAUGGCUGCUUAUAUACAAGUUGAAAGUGCGAGGGGUGUCUCAGGCAGUGGAAGCGGGCCAAUUUGUUGAUAGCGAAAGAAGAAUAGCUUGAUAUAUAAUUGUGUUGUUUGAUAUGAACCCCAACCCCUGUGGGCACUGCAGAAGAUGGCCAACUGUAAUAGACUUUGGAUGAACCAGGAGCCAGAGGCCACAAAACAAAAAGGGUCAUAUGGAAGUGCUUUUGUGGAGAUAAGGCUCAGCAUGGUGGACUUGUAGCCUCCAUGAAGGAAGUCAAAAGGAUUCAGGCUCCUGUUCGAGGAGAUGUGUGGGUUAUGCAACCACUUACCUUGGUCAUCCACUAAGCCAUAAGCGAGGGAUAGCAGCACUUGGUGGUCUUUGGUCUUCACAUUUGACUUUGGACAGGAAUGUAGGAAGUGCAGCAUUACUUUUUGUUGAGACUCAGAAAUAGGGCCUUUUAAUUUGAAUCAAGUCACAGUAUACAGAUCAAUGCAAGUAGAACACGAAUGAUUCAUGUAAUCAACUUGUGUGGAAGCUAAAGUGUGCAUCUAAUAAGAACUUUGAAAUCUAAUUCUUGAGGUAAACUUGACCUCUUCCUCAAAAUCGAAACAAGUAUCUUUAAAAGCCAUAUAUGUGAACAUAAUUUCUGUUCUUCAUUCUACAUGCUGCCAUAUACAUCAUACAAAGUCAACAUCAAUAAUACACCCUCACCAUUGCUUCCACUCUUCAGUCACAAUAAUACAUGAGAGAGGAUUGGUUUUGACAUGAACAGUCUGUGGAAGCAUCCAUUAUUGCAUGCAGGAUAUUGAGUGCAUCCGACUGUUUUCCCAGUACUGAAUGGGUUGACCAGGAGAUGGGGCUACUCGGUGAGAUUAGUAUGUGGCCCAAACUUCAAAAUGGCUACAAUUCACUCCACAUGUGUGUGUGUGUGUGUGUGAGAGAGAGAGAGAGAGAGAGAGAGAGAUGAAUACAAAUCCAAGAACGAUAGCCAGAUCUGUCAGCAUUGGAUAAAACUCCAUGAGAUUCAAUGGUGAGACAGAGGAGAGAAUCUCGUCUGCAUGGGAUUAAGGAUGAGUCAUGACUUAAUGCUUUACAAAAAGAUUGGCAAGUGUUCAUCAGAUUGACAUGGAUCAAGCGUAGAAAGAAGAUGCAGGAAUGAGAAUGUUGCAGUGCAAACAGGAUCUUGAAUCUGAUAUGAUAGACUAAGGAAUACAGUGAUAAAAUAGUGAUCAAUAGAUAGUUAGAGGAGGAUUAGAAUGGUGAACGAAUUCUUAGAGGAGGAGCUGUGAUCAUAACAUUGAUUGUAAAAUAUAAAGAGCAUGUUUUUCUAACAAUGAAGGAUGAUAACAAAGAUAUCCAUGGAAAAGCUUACCUAUGUUCGAGAAUAGUGGAGAAAUACUCCUCACCUAAUCCAAAUCAAACACAAGAUGCAUUUUUCCAUAUGUUUUAUUUUGCUUAUUCCUUUUGGUUCUGAAUAUUUCAGCUAAUUGGCUAAUCUUCUAUACUUAAAAAGUGUAAAUGAGGUAUUCUUAUCAUUCGACCAGCUUUAAGCAGACACAUGAGUAGUCUCAGAAGUUAUGCUAAUCCUUAAUGGGAUCCUACAAUCCGAUUACUACAUCUGUGUUGCUCUCAUUAUUAGAUUGGGGCCUUCGCAGAUCACAAGUUUGUGGCUUUCACUUUGAAACCUAGUUCUUAUGUUUAUGAAGUACUUCAGUGAAUGGAAGCAUGCAGAUAAAGUUGUGAUGCUUGUUCAAGAGAAAACAAUCUAUGUAGUACUUCAGUGAAUGGAAGCAUGCAGAUAAAAUUCUGAUGCUUGUUCAAGAGAAAACAUUCAUUCUUAGGCAUUGACAUAGAAGACUAAUUCCUUUGUUAUUGUUUUCAUCUUGGUUCUUAUAUUCAACAAAUGUUACAGUUAAAUGGCUCAUGCAAACAUCUCCUGUGGUAAAUGAUCUAAUUCCUUGUGUACUUGGUGGAGGAAUGACUCUUAUUCAAGUUAAUCUAUGUAUUCCAUUGUGGAUGCUCUGGCAAAGAAAACCUCAUCAGCUUCUAAGGAAAAUAUAGAAAGUUCACAAGAUAAAAGGUAAUGUUGUACUUCAACACCCAUCCUCCUUAAUCUCUUCAAAGCUUAGUUGGUCAUGUUUCACCUAUAUCUAGAAUUGCUUUGUGAUUUAUGAGCUCUCUCUACAACCUACAUUAUGGUCCUGCUCAUGAUGCUUAGUUGUGUGUAUGUGUUUGUCCAGAUCUCAUUGGAACUUAGUCAUACAUAUAUCUCUCUCUUCCACUGGAGAAGCUAAUCUAUGAAAUUGCAAAGCAGGUUUUUCUUGUAACGCUGUCAUAGAUUCUUCCAAUUUUAGUGGUAGAAUAUCUAAUAUAUCGACAUAAUUGUAGCAUUUCAGCAAUUUUUCCUUGCAUUGGCAGGUUCCAUACAACUGCUCUAGCAUUUAUCUUUCAUUAAAUCAAUCUGUUUGUUGACCUCAAUGGAAUGACACUCCCACCAAUACGAGAUCCGAGGAGGAGAAUCAAUGUGCCAAACAUAUCAAUGUGCUCUAGCUUGGUUGCUGUCUCUAUGAACUUACUUUUUAAGUGCAUGGAAAAUAUGCAGCCUUAGCAGUACCUUAAUCACAGUGAUGCUUUCAAUAUUCAGUUUUUAUGAUUAGUAGGAGGAGAACACCUUUGCACAACCCAUAACAGAGAUAGGGCACCCUGGCAAUAGUCAAGGGGAAUCAAUGUUAUGCAUGCAUGAUUAGGUAUGAGAUUGAGGGGGAUUGAAGGUUAUGACAUCUGUGUUUUAUUUUUGUGCCUGUUUUGUAGGUUUUCUCCUGAUGCAGUAACUGGUAGCAUAUAGUAAACUUAUUAAGGGCGAGGUUUGAUAAUAUAUUUGCUCUUUUGCGUAACAUAAAAAAGUAUUUUUACUUAUGUUAAUCUUUCACGGAUCUCGCAUUAGUGGAAACCUCAUGUAUAUAAUAUCGGAAGACAACCAAAGGUGCUUAAGCCGAUACGGCACGUUAGGACGGAUUUGAUGCUUGAUAUGUAUAAAGUAGCAAUAAUUUGUCGAUGGUAUUUGAUCCUGCAAUCUUGACUGUAACAUGGUUAGAUAGAACUCUUAUGAUUAAAGCAGUUGUGAUGAUUCAAAUCUACUACUUAUUUUAUUGAGGUGAUUCUUAGUGCACUUAACCUGCCAUCCACAAUAAGAAAAGCAUCAGAUGCCAGUUUCUUGUCUCACUGCUCCUCCUUCACAUUGAUUCAGUGUCUGCAGAAAUCCUCUCCAGGGUUGUGAGGCAUUCACACCUAAGCCAAAGGCGAUCAUCUUUUGAGCACUUCAAUGUAGACCAGAAGAAAAAGGGAAGGAAACUAAUAAACUUCUACUAGUUGCUUGCUCUUUUCAGACUUCUGCUGGUCCAAGCAACAUCUUUUGCUUGCAAAGGGGGAUUCUUUGUUUUCCGAGAGUAAGAACAAAGAGAUGUGCUGCGGUUGGCUGGGUGGUUCUGGUGGGGAACAUCCUCCAAAGAAUUGCAUUUCUUUGGUGAUUGUGAUGGGCAGUAAAGAAGGAUAAAUGGGGUUGAACAUGGUGCCUGGCUGCCUCCGCAGGCCAUGGGGUCCUUUUCACCAAGGUAAGCUCCCAUCUCAUGCCCAUCGACUCUUCCAGUAUGGAACAGCUGUUGUUGAACAUGAAUGAUCAUACCUACCAGUGAGUGACUCAACUACAGGGCAGGUCUUGAUCAUGAAUGAUACACUGUGAGAAGUUGAAAUAGUCCCUCAACUUGGCACCAAUAAGAUUGUGUAUAUUGACCAAAUGACACCAGCAUCAGUACAAGUCUUCUGUACCAAGCCACCUUUUCAAUUAUUGACUGAGUCAAGCAAACUGCGAAGCAGAGAACAAAUCUUAUGAACGAUCGAUGUUCAAGCCGAGAAUACAAUUGCCUCUUUACCCAUAUUUUCUCUCAGCAUACUGUCAAGUAGUUGGCAACUCGUUUAGAUAGAUCCUUCGUAUCUGAAUCAAACACUCAUGGGUUUCGGUAGAUGUCCAAAGGCAGAAGCAGGCGCCUCUGAUAUGGCAAUUAUGUCCCUCACCACUGACAUGGUAAAAGAACAUGUUAUUCCAAUAUUUUUCAGAUCAUAUCCAGAAUAUUGAACAUUGAUAUGGUGUCAGUCUUUCACUCUGCCAUCCACGCAAAAUUACUUACUUGAUGUAUCAUCAAGAGGGGGAAAUCAUGCAGAUUUAAGAUCCAGCACAAUAUUCACACAACUUUGAAUCAGCUUCCAAGUUCUUUCCCCCUCCCUGCAGUCAAAAGUUUGGACAAACCUUCCAGAGUUGAUGAAUUUCUAGGCCACAAUAUCUGAAUUCAACGACUGCAGACAUCAAAUUUUACAUAGCAGGUUGGAUAACUACAAGCUACACAGGACUAUAAUACAACAUUGUUCCUCACUGGUUCUGCUGAGGAAAAAACAAACAGCAGAAAACAGCAGGUCUCAGACACAACCACAACAUACUCUACACCUAAAACCUUAGGCUUGAAUGGACUCUUACACUGAAGACCACAGAGAGAGUCUCUACAGAAGCUCAGCAAAUGUCUAAAAUACCAUUUGCAGCAGCCACUGGAGACAACAGUAACUACCAGACCUGCGUCCUGAGCUACUUACUAACUGCUGGAAGAGAGAAUGGAGUCCCAGUCGAUCUCCCAUGAUGGGCGUUUUUGCAACAUAAAGGUCUCCGAUUCAUCCCACGGCGCCUCGGUAAAAUCCAAAUGCUGCAUCUCAAGCACUGGCGGGGAGCAAGAGGAGUCUUCGCCCUCGGAGGAGCUCCCCGACUUGUUGUCCUCGGAGCCCGCCUUGGGCGCGGCCUCCUUGGUGACCGUUGGCGGCGGAUCGCCGCUGCCGAUUGUUGCGGACUCUGUGAUGGGCUUGAGGGUGGAGCUGGGCAGCGGGCUGCUCCUCUUUUUCGAUUUCGAGGAAUUGGCCAAGCCCUGGCAGAGGGCUUGGAGCUUGGCGUCGACGGUGGAGAGAAGGGGACCUGGGGCGGCGGCGGCGGCGUGCCGGAGGUUGGGGAAGUUGAGCCUGGCGAAGUCCCCGCGGAGCUUGUAGGCGGCCUUGUCGUAGGCGAGUGCGGCUUCCUCGGCGGUGUCGAAGGUCCCAAGCCAGAGGCGCGUCCGGUUCUUGGGGAGACGGAUCUCCGCCACCCACUUGCCCCAGUGGCGCUGCCGCACCCCGCGGUAUAGCUUUGUGGGCUUCGG